GAUGAACGCUGGCGGCGUGCCUAAUACAUGCAAGUCGAGCGAACAGACGAGGAGCUUGCUCCUCUGACGUUAGCGGCGGACGGGUGAGUAACACGUGGAUAACCUACCUAUAAGACUGGGAUAACUUCGGGAAACCGGAGCUAAUACCGGAUAAUAUAUUGAACCGCAUGGUUCAAUAGUUAAAGACGGUUUUGCUGUCACUUAUAGAUGGAUCCGCGCCGCAUUAGCUAGUUGGUAAGGUAACGGCUUACCAAGGCAACGAUGCGUAGCCGAACUGAGAGGGUGAUCGGCCACACUGGAACUGAGACACGGUCCAGACUCCUACGGGAGGCAGCAGUAGGGAAUCUUCCGCAAUGGGCGAAAGCCUGACGGAGCAACGCCGCGUGAGUGAUGAAGGUCUUCGGAUCGUAAAACUCUGUUAUUAGGGAAGAACAAAUGUGUAAGUAAAUAUGCACGUCUUGACGGUACCUAAUCAGAAAGCCCCGGCUAACUACGUG
RNAcentral lists this ribosomal RNA (497 nucleotides) under uncultured bacterium. RNAcentral's name for it is "partial 16S ribosomal RNA". It matches the Rfam family "Bacterial small subunit ribosomal RNA", at positions 28 to 507 of the family's 1533-position model. The record is from RNAcentral.